UUUAACGGCCGCGGUAUAUUGACCGUGCAAAGGUAGCAUAAUCAUUAGUCUUUUAAUAGAGGGCUGGAAUGAAAGGUUUGACGAGGAACUGGCUGUCUCAUUUUAUUUGUUUUAAAAUUUAAUUUUUUAGUUAAAAAGCUAAAAUUUUAUUGGUAGACGAGAAGACCCUAUAGAGCUUUACAUGUAAUUAUUUUGAUAUUUUUAUAUUAAUGUUUCUAAUUAAUUAUGUGUUUUGUUGGGGUGACAAAAAUAUAUAAUUAACUAUUUUAUUUAGUUAACAUUGAUUUAUGAAUAUUGGAUCCAUUAUUAUUGAUUGUUAGACUAAGUUACCUUAGGGAUAACAGCGUAAUCCUCCUCCAGAGUUCAUAUUUACAGGAGGGCUUGCGACCUCGAUGUUGGAUUAAGAUAAUAAUUAGGUGUAGCCGCUUAAUUAAUAGGUCUGUUCGACCUUUAAAUUCUUACAUGAUCUGA
This 471-nucleotide ribosomal RNA is filed under the name Orthetrum japonicum. RNAcentral's name for it is "partial 16S ribosomal RNA". It matches the Rfam family "Bacterial large subunit ribosomal RNA", at positions 1923 to 2608 of the family's 2925-position model. The record is from RNAcentral. Lineage: Eukaryota; Metazoa; Arthropoda; Insecta; Odonata; Libellulidae.